CUACCACUUACAGAUGGACCCGCGGCGCAUUAGCUAGUUGGUGAGGUAACGGCUCACCAAGGCGACGAUGCGUAGCCGACUUGAGAGGGUGAUCGGCCACACUGGGACUGAGACACGGCCCAGACUCCUACGGGAGGCAGCAGUAGGGAAUCUUCCGCAAUGGACGAAAGUCUGACGGAGCAACGCCGCGUGAGUGAUGAAGGUUUUCGGAUCGUAAAACUCUGUUGUUAGGGAAGAACAAGUAUCGUUCGAAUAGGGCGGUACCUUGACGGUACCUAACCAGAAAGCCACGGCUAACUACGUGCCAGCAGCCGCGGUAAUACGUAGGUGGCAAGCGUUGUCCGGAAUUAUUGGGCGUAAAGCGCGCGCAGGCGGUUUCUUAAGUCUGAUGUGAAAGCCCACGGCUCAACCGUGGAGGGUCAUUGGAAACUGGGAGACUUGAGUGCAGAAGAGAAGAGCGGAAUUCCACGUGUAGCGGUGAAAUGCGUAGAGAUGUGGAGGAACACCAGUGGCGAAGGCGGCUCUUUGGUCUGUAACUGACGCUGAGGCGCGAAAGCGUGGGGAGCGAACAGGAUUAGAUACCCUGGUAGUCCACGCCGUAAACGAUGAGUGCUAAGUGUUAGAGGGUUUCCGCCCUUUAGUGCUGCAGCUAACGCAUUAAGCACUCCGCCUGGGGAGUACGGCCGCA
RNAcentral lists this ribosomal RNA (688 nucleotides) under Bacillus sp. (in: firmicutes). RNAcentral's name for it is "bacterial SSU rRNA". It matches the Rfam family "Bacterial small subunit ribosomal RNA", at positions 212 to 890 of the family's 1533-position model. Lineage: Bacteria; Bacillati; Bacillota; Bacilli; Caryophanales; Bacillaceae. The record is from RNAcentral.